GUGGGUAGUUUGACUGGGGCGGUCUCCUCCUAAAGAGUAACGGAGGAGCACGAAGGUUGGCUAAUCCUGGUCGGACAUCAGGAGGUUAGUGCAAUGGCAUAAGCCAGCUUGACUGCGAGCGUGACGGCGCGAGCAGGUGCGAAAGCAGGUCAUAGUGAUCCGGUGGUUCUGAAUGGAAGGGCCAUCGCUCAACGGAUAAAAGGUACUCCGGGGAUAACAGGCUGAUACCGCCCAAGAGUUCAUAUCGACGGCGGUGUUUGGCACCUCGAUGUCGGCUCAUCACAUCCUGGGGCUGAAGUAGGUCCCAAGGGUAUGGCUGUUCGCCAUUUAAAGUGGUACGCGAGCUGGGUUUAGAACGUCGUGAGACAGUUCGGUCCCUAUCUGCCGUGGGCGCUGGAGAACUGAGGGGGGCUGCUCCUAGUACGAGAGGACCGGAGUGGACGCAUCACUGGUGUUCGGGUUGUCAUGCCAAUGGCACUGCCCGGUAGCUAAAUGCGGAAGAGAUAAGUGCUGAAAGCAUCUAAGCACGAAACUUGCCCCGAGAUGAGUUCUCCCUGAGACUUAAAGUCUCCUGAAGGAACGUUGAAGACGACGACGUUGAUAGGCCGGGUGUGUAAGCGCAGCGAUGCGUUGAGCUAACCGGUACUAAUGAACCGUGAGGCUUAACCUUACA
RNAcentral lists this ribosomal RNA (673 nucleotides) under Salmonella enterica. RNAcentral's name for it is "partial 23S ribosomal RNA". It matches the Rfam family "Bacterial large subunit ribosomal RNA", at positions 2261 to 2925 of the family's 2925-position model. RNAcentral also lists the same sequence under 1 other name. The record is from RNAcentral. Lineage: Bacteria; Pseudomonadati; Pseudomonadota; Gammaproteobacteria; Enterobacterales; Enterobacteriaceae.